UGAGGAAUAUUGGGCAAUGGAGGCAACUCUGACCCAGCCAUGCCGCGUGAGUGAAGAAGGUUUUCGGAUUGUAAAGCUCUUUCGGAUGUGACGAUGAUGACGGUAGCAUCUAAAGAAGCCCCGGCUAACUUCGUGCCAGCAGCCGCGGUAAUACGAAGGGGGCAAGCGUUGUUCGGAAUUACUGGGCGUAAAGGGAGUGUAGGCGGUUUAGUAAGAUAGUGGUGAAAUCCCAGGGCUUAACUUUGGAAUUGCCAUUAUAACUAUUAGACUAGAAUUACAGAGAGGAUAGUGGAAUACCCAGUGUAGAGGUGAAAUUCGUAGAUAUUGGGUAGAACACCAGUGGCGAAGGCGACUAUCUGGCUGUACAUUGACGCUGAGGCUCGAAAGCAUGGGGAUCAAA
RNAcentral lists this ribosomal RNA (400 nucleotides) under uncultured bacterium. Its description in RNAcentral is "bacterial SSU rRNA". It matches the Rfam family "Bacterial small subunit ribosomal RNA", at positions 355 to 772 of the family's 1533-position model. The record is from RNAcentral.